AGUGAACGCUGGCGGUAUGCCUAACACAUGCAAGUCGAACGGCAGCACAGUAAGAGCUUGCUCUUACGGGUGGCGAGUGGCGGACGGGUGAGGAAUACAUCGGAAUCUACUUUUUCGUGGGGGAUAACGUAGGGAAACUUACGCUAAUACCGCAUACGACCUCCGGGUGAAAGCAGGGGAUCUUCGGACCUUGCGCGAUUGAAUGAGCCGAUGUCGGAUUAGCUAGUUGGCGGGGUAAAGGCCCACCAAGGCGACGAUCCGUAGCUGGUCUGAGAGGAUGAUCAGCCACACUGGAACUGAGACACGGUCCAGACUCCUACGGGAGGCAGCAGUGGGGAAUAUUGGACAAUGGGCGCAAGCCUGAUCCAGCAAUACCGCGUGGGGGAAGAAGGCCUUCGGGUUGUAAAGCGCUUUUGUUGGGAAAGAAAAGCAGCAGGUUAAUACCCCGCUGUUCUGACGGUACCCAAAGAAUAAGCACCGGCUAACUUCGUG
RNAcentral lists this ribosomal RNA (492 nucleotides) under uncultured bacterium. RNAcentral describes it as "partial 16S ribosomal RNA". It matches the Rfam family "Bacterial small subunit ribosomal RNA", at positions 29 to 507 of the family's 1533-position model. The record is from RNAcentral.